Molecule: transfer RNA, 74 nt
Filed under: Stegastes leucostictus (beaugregory)
Lineage: Eukaryota; Metazoa; Chordata; Actinopteri; Pomacentridae
Description: tRNA-Asp
Rfam family: tRNA
About the family: Transfer RNA (tRNA) molecules are approximately 80 nucleotides in length.
Source: RNAcentral
AAGAUACUAGUAUAACCAGGCAAUUACACUGCCUUGUCAAGGCAGAAUCGUGGGUUAAAACCCCACGUAUCUUA